Molecule: unclassified non-coding RNA, 251 nt
Filed under: Golubevia pallescens
Lineage: Eukaryota; Fungi; Basidiomycota; Exobasidiomycetes; Golubeviales; Golubeviaceae
Description: partial internal transcribed spacer region
Rfam family: Eukaryotic small subunit ribosomal RNA (bases 1-46)
Source: RNAcentral
AAGUCAUAACAAGGUUACUGUAGGUGAACCUGCAGUAGGAUCAUUAUUGAAAAAUAGGGCUUUCCCAUUCUUUGGGGCCCGAACCUUCACAUAAUUUCCACACACUUGUGAAUCGUUGGAGCGUUUUUUGAAAAAGAGACGCUCUGGCACCCUUUAAUUAUUACAAACACUGAGUUAAUGGAUGUAGUUGUAAACUUGUCUUUUGACAGAAACAAAAAUACAACUUUCGACAACGGAUCUCUUGGUUCUCC